Molecule: ribosomal RNA, 1452 nt
Filed under: Triticum aestivum (bread wheat)
Lineage: Eukaryota; Viridiplantae; Streptophyta; Magnoliopsida; Poales; Poaceae
Description: partial small subunit ribosomal RNA
Source: RNAcentral
AUGGGUUCUAGAUUUCCAUCACAUCAGCUGAGCAGUGGCCUUUAUGUUUCUGGCCGACCUGAGCAACCUAAGGAGAAGGCCCCGACCUUUGGAUCCAAUGUGAUGCCAUAUACUGGUGGUGACACCAAGAAAUCUGGAGAGCUUGGGAAGAUGUUUGAGCUCCAUGCUGAAAGAUCCAGAAAAUCUGGUCCUCUAGGCAGUGCGCCUUCGAGAAAUCCUUCAUUUGGUGGUGCUGCCUCCAACUCUGGACCUGUGUCUAAUGCUGGCGGUCGGUCAAACUACUCUGGUUCUCUUUCAUCUUCAGUUCCUGGCGCCGGAGGAUCAGCAAGAGCAAAAUCUAACUCCGGACCACUCAAUAAGCAUGGAGAACCAGUAAAGCGGUCAUCUGGUCCCCAGUCUGGAGGUGUGACCCCAAUGGCUCGCCAGAAUUCCGGCCCUCUCCCUCCAAUGCUUCCUAUGACUGGGCUUAUCACAUCUGGCCCUGUUACUUCUGGACCACUGAAUUCGUCUGGUGCCCCAAGAAGGAAAGUAUCUGGAUCUCUUGAUCCUGCUGCAUCGAUGAAGGCGCGGGCCACAUCGCUUGCUCACAACCAGGCUGUUACUACACUCACCAGUGAAGGUGGUUUCUCAGUUAUGGGAAGCAUUUCAAAGUGGGUAUUCUGGCUAGUGAUCACACUCUUGCUGUUCGGGUUUGCAGUAGGUCUCUUCAUUCUUAUUGCUGUUCACAAUGCGAUUGUGCUGAUAGUUGUUGUUGCAAUGAUUGGUUCUGUUGCUGCACUUGUGUCUUGGAAUGUUUGGCGGGGCAGGAGAGGCGUGCUCAGGUUUGUCAAUAGCUGUCCUGAUACUGAUCUCAGAACUGCAAAGGAUGGAGAGUAUGUGAAGGUUACAGGGGUUGUUACGUGUGGAAAUUUCCCCCUGGAGUCCUCAUUUCAAAGGAUUCCGAGAUGUGUGUACACUUCAACUAGGCUGUAUGAGUAUAGGGGCUGGGAUUCAAAAACUGCAAACCCCAAGCAUCGCCGGUUUACCUGGGGAUUACGGACAGCAGAGCGACAUGCGGUUGAUUUCUACAUUUCAGAUUUCCAGUCUGGGCUUCGAGCAUUGGUGAGAACAGGAAGUGGGGCACGGGUGACACCAUAUGUUGAUGAAUCGGUAGUAAUUGACGUCAAUCCUGAGAACAAGGACAUGUCUCCUGAAUUUCUUAGAUGGCUACGAGAAAGGAACCUCUCAAGUGAUGGUCGGAAAAUGCGCCUAAAAGAAGGAUACAUCAAGGAAGGCAGCACUGUGAGCGUGAUGGGGGUCGUUCAAAAGAAUGAGAGCGUGUUGAUGAUAGUACCUCCAUCAGAGCCCAUCUCAUCUGGUUGCCAGUGGGGGAGUUGUUUCUUCCCAGCGAACCUUGAAGGACUGGUCGUGAGAUGCGAAGAUACUUCAGACAUGGAUGUCAUACCAGUAUAG